This 497-nucleotide ribosomal RNA is filed under the name uncultured bacterium. RNAcentral describes it as "partial 16S ribosomal RNA". It matches the Rfam family "Bacterial small subunit ribosomal RNA", at positions 28 to 507 of the family's 1533-position model. The record is from RNAcentral.
GAUGAACGCUGGCGGCGUGCCUAGUACAUGCAAGUCGAGCGAACGGACGAGAAGCUUGCUUCUCUGAUGUUAGCGGCGGACGGGUGAGUAACACGUGGAUAACCUAUCUAUAAGACUGGGAUAACUUCGGGAAACCGGAUCUAAUACCGGAUGAUAUUUUGAACCGCAUGGUUCAAAAGUGAAAGACGGUCUUGCUGUCACUUAUAGAUGGAUCCGCGCUGCAUUAGCUAGUUGGUAAGGUAACGGCUUACCAAGGCAACGAUGCAUAGCCGACCUGAGAGGGUGAUCGGCCACACUGGAACUGAGACACGGUCCAGACUCCUACGGGAGGCAGCAGUAGGGAAUCUUCCGCAAUGGGCGAAAGCCUGACGGAGCAACGCCGCGUGAGUGAUGAAGGUCUUCGGAUCGUAAAACUCUGUUAUUAGGGAAGAACAUAUGUGUAAGUAACUGUGCACAUCUUGACGGUACCUAAUCAGAAAGCCACGGCUAACUACGUG